RNAcentral lists this ribosomal RNA (465 nucleotides) under uncultured bacterium. RNAcentral's name for it is "partial 16S ribosomal RNA". It matches the Rfam family "Bacterial small subunit ribosomal RNA", at positions 338 to 795 of the family's 1533-position model. The record is from RNAcentral.
CCUACGGGAGGCAGCAGUGGGGAAUAUUGCGCAAUGGGCGAAAGCCUGACGCAGCGACGCCGCGUGAGGGAUGAAGGUCUUCGGAUCGUAAACCUCUGUCAGCAGGGAAGAACGGUCACUGUGCUAAUCAGCAGUGAAUUGACGGUACCUGCAAAGGAAGCACCGGCGAACUCCGUGCCAGCAGCCGCGGUAAUACGGAGGGUGCGAGCGUUAAUCGGAAUUACUGGGCGUAAAGCGCUCGUAGGCGGUAUGUCAAGUCAAGGGUGAAAUCCCCGCGCUCAACGUGGGAACUGCCUUUGAAACUGGCAGACUGGAGUGUGUGAGAGGAUAGUGGAAUUCCAGGUGUAGGAGUGAAAUCCGUAGAUAUCUGGAGGAACAUCAGUGGCGAAGGCGACUAUCUGGCACAUAACUGACGCUGAGGAGCGAAAGCGUGGGUAGCAAACAGGAUUAGAUACCCUGGUAGUC